GGGAAGGUGGCUCAGUGGUAGAGUGCUUGCCUUGCAUGCAUGAGGCCCUGGGUUCGAUUCCUUAGCAUCACA
This is a non-coding RNA of Dipodomys ordii (Ord's kangaroo rat), 72 nucleotides long. Lineage: Eukaryota; Metazoa; Chordata; Mammalia; Rodentia; Heteromyidae. The record is from Rfam.